This 611-nucleotide ribosomal RNA is filed under the name uncultured bacterium. Its description in RNAcentral is "bacterial SSU rRNA". The stretch from base 1 to 533 matches the Rfam family "Bacterial small subunit ribosomal RNA", at positions 338 to 873 of the family's 1533-position model. The record is from RNAcentral.
CCUACGGGAGGCAGCAGUAGGGAAUAUUGGUCAAUGGACGAAAGUCUGAACCAGCCAUGCCGCGUGAAGGAUGAAGGCCCUAUGGGUCGUAAACUUCUUUUAUUAGGGAAGAAACCUUAGGAUGCGUCCUAAGCUGACGGUACCUAAUGAAUAAGGAUCGGCUAACUUCGUGCCAGCAGCCGCGGUAAGACGAAGGAUCCAAGCGUUGUCCGGAUUUACUGGGUUUAAAGGGUGCGUAGGCGGAAAAUUAAGUCAGUGGUGAAAGCCCGCAGCUCAACUGUGGAACUGCCAUUGAAACUGAUUUUCUUGAAUAUAGUUGAGGCAGAUGGAAUAUAACAUGUAGCGGUGAAAUGCUUAGAUAUGUUAUAGAACACCGAUUGCGAAGGCAGUCUGCUAAGCUAUUAUUGACGCUGAGGCACGAAAGCGUGGGGAGCGAACAGGAUUAGAUACCCUGGUAGUCCACGCCCUAAACGUUGAUUACUCGCUGUUGGCGAUAUACUGUCNGUGNGUAGACGAAGAGUUAAGUAAUCACCUGGAGUACGACCGCGAGUAGAACGUACGAAGAAGUAGACGGCGUGAGAGUGCCGACGGACGACGACGAGGGAGGAGGG